This 4343-nucleotide long non-coding RNA is filed under the name Olea europaea (common olive). RNAcentral describes it as "long non-coding RNA (OEUR_LNC007617)". The record is from RNAcentral. Lineage: Eukaryota; Viridiplantae; Streptophyta; Magnoliopsida; Lamiales; Oleaceae.
AACGAAUCUUAGCAAAAUCUUUGCCUAAAUCAAAAUCAAAACACCACCAAAUCCUCUGCCAAUAUCCUUCAAGUUUUGAUGUGUAAUCAAAGUUUUGGUUGAGGAAGAAUGAGUUCGUUUUUGGUGAUCCAUAAAGAAAAAGAAGUCUAGAGGCUCUGGAGUAGGUGUUGGAGCCCACAGCUGAGGAGUUAUUCUGUAAUUAAUAGGUUGGGAGUUAGAGUUACUGAUGUUUUGUCUGGACCAUAUCUGUAACUUCAAUCUUUUCUUCUCGAUCAUUUAUUGGCAUAAAUUGCUCGAAGUUGCACUUGAAGAGUUUUUUUAAGAAAUUUUCCUUUGUAAACAAUUCUUGCUGUAAUUUACUUUUAUCACUUUUACUUUCAUGCUGGCAUGAUUUCUGUGCUAUAAAUUGAUUUCAAUAAUCUAAAUUUAAUAAUUUGUUAUGUGUUACAAGUUAUUAGUAGUAAAAUUUAAAUUUCGCAUUUUACACCUAUUUGCUCCUUUGAGGUGUUUAUUGGGUUGAAUUGAGUUUAUUACAAUUGGUAAGCUUAGUUUCAAUUCUUGACCUGGAAUAGUUUAGAUGAGUACUAGUCAGUCAUUAUGUGUGCCUCUACACUUUAAUGAAAGUAAUUAUAUUUAUAGGAAGAUUAGGAUGAGAGUUUUCUUGAAAUUUAUAAAUGAACAAGUUUAAGCAUGUGUGGUGAAGGGUUUGACAACCCUAUCUGUAGCUGUUGAUGGUGUAAUGCUUACAGAAGUAUUCACUUGGAUUAAAAAUGAAUUACUUGAGUGUAAUCGAAAUAGUAAAGAUGGUCAUGCCAUUUGUUAUGACUAUAUCACCUGAGGAGUUUAAAUGUGUGUAUGGGUAAGACUUUCAAGGAAGCUUGCGACAUUCUUGAAACCACACACGAGGGAAAUAAAAUGGUGAAAAACUCUAAGCUGCAAAUGUUGACCCCAAAGUUUGAGAAAUUAGAACGAAGGAUGAUGAAUCGUCUAAUGAUUUCAAUACAAAAUUAAAUGACAUAAUUAAUUCUAGCUUUAAUGAAAGUGAAUGGAUUUUGUAGACUAAAACAGUUAGAAAGGUUCUAAGAUUUGUAUGUGAGAGGUUUAGACCUAAGGCCAUAGCAAUUGAGGAAAGUAAAGACCAACAUCAUGUUAAAAUAGAAGAACUUAUAGGUUCUCUCCAAACCUACGAGCGUACCCUACCCAAGUUUAAGAAAAAUAAGUCCAUAGCCUUCAACACUAUAAAGAAAGAGACUAGUGAUAAGCAUGAUAAGGAGACUCUAGCUGAUAUGGAGGUAACAUAUUUUGCUAAGAAAUUCUGGUUCUUUAGGAACAAUAAAAAACAUUUUUAGAAGUUUAAUAGGGACUCUGGGAAAUAUAAGGAAGAUAAAAGAGAGAAGAAAUACACUAGGAAUACCAAAAAGAAGUCUCGAAACAUUAGGUGUAAUGAGUAACAUGGGUUUGGACAUAUUAGAGUUGAGUUUCCAAGUUAUAGCAAGACUAAUGAUGAGUGUAAUUUCAGGAAUCAAAGUAAGAUUUCUACUUCUAAGGAUAAUUGAAACUACAUGGCUUUUACUUCCUUUGUGGAAUAUGAAAGGGAGAAGGAGGAUAGAAAGAUUGAGAACUUAGAGCACAUAGACUUCUCACAGGAAGAGUCUGAUGAUGAAGAUCUCUAAGAUGCUUAUGAUAAGUUAUUUAAGGAGAGUCUUAAAUUGAAGAAGAAAAAUAGGCCUACUUUUAAAAAUUUAUAUAUUUUUCGAGUUAGAGAAGAAAAGAUUUUUGGCUAAGCUUGAGGAGAUAAAUUGUAGUGUGAAUGAGCUAAAUAUUGAGGAGUCCUUUGAGAAUAAAUUUAAGAUACUAGUAAUUGAACUUGAUAAAUCCAAUUCACAACUUCGUACUUUCUCUAGUCGGUCUAAGAAGCUUGACAAAAUAUUAGGACAAAACAAGUCUGCGAGAAAUAGGGGAUGUUUAUGCUAUAAGGAAAUAGGUUCUCAUGUUAUUGCCUCUUCUAAAACCAUUUAUGUUCUUGCAUCUACUAAGACUAAGAAGGUAAAAGUUAGUGAGUCUAAGAGUAAAGACACAUUAGGAAGAAAAUCUUUAGUGCACCAAAAGAUUUCUCAGCUUGAAGUUCUAAACUUUUAAUCUAAGCACUGCUACUAUAUUUAUCCCCAUGUGUUUUAACAGUAAAGAGUUAUGUCCCACAUGUCCUAGAUAUCAUAAACUCUUGAUUAGGAAAGAGAAUGAGGAUAUUGCUUGUUAGUUUAAACUCUAAACUAUAUAGUAAUCACUCGACUAAAAUGAUGACACACUAGACAAAAAUUACUUCUUCUAGGAAGGUUUUGGUUAAAAAGGGUUAAUUCUCCAAAUAGUCAUUGAACUUUGCCAAAAAGUUUCCAAGAGGUCACCAAACUUCAAAACAUCCCUAAAUAGUCAUUGAACUUUGCAAAAAACUUCUAGGAGGUCAUUGAACUUCAAAACAUCCCUAAAUAGUCACUUAACUUUGCAAAAAGCUUCUAGGAGGUUACUGAACUUCAAAACUUUCCUAAAUAGUUACUGAACUUUGCAAAAAGUUCCUAAGAGGUCACUUAACUUUGAAAAUUGAGGCCCAUACAUCACUGAUUUAGUGACCUUCUAUGAACUUACUACAAAGUUCAGUGACCUCCUAGGAACAUUUUGCAAAGUUCAGUGACUAUUUAAGAAAGUUUUAAAGUUCAAUGACUUCUUGGGAGAUUUUUGCAAAGUUCAGUGUCUAUAUAGGGAAGUUUUGAAGUUGGUGACCUCUUUGGAACUUUUAGUAAAGUUUAGUGACUAUUUGAGGUAUUAACUCGAUUAAAAAUAAUGAACUUACUAAAGAUGUUGAGCUUGUUUCUACCGAAAACCAAUUGACUGGCCUACUUAUCAAACCUUUGGAUAGUCAUUGGUCUAAGUUUCUUAGGACAGCCAUUGAUGUUUGUGCUAAUCCUUGAGUAGUAUUUUAUGUGCAUUCAUUAGUUAGGUAAUGUCCUUCACUUCUUCUUGCAUGCAUAUUAAUUUAUUUAUCUUUUAUUUUUGUUGAUUCCUUUUUUAUUGCUUUCUUAUGUUGAUUUGAAAAAAAAAAAAUUGAAAUUGCAAAAUAAAAAUAUAUAUUUUUGGCUAUGUAAAAUUUGAAGUGAUUACAUUACUUGUUAUCUUGUGAACUGUGUACUUUUAAGUUGUAUAAAAAGGGAUAAAAAUUCACAUUUAACUUAUUCUUGAACUUACUCGGAGUACUUGAUAUGCUUUACUUCAUGCCCUUUCCAGUAUACACGCUAAUUCUUUAUGAAUGAGAUUUAACCUUGUGUGUGAGAUUCGGGAUGACAGUCAUAGGUGUAUGGGGUUGCCUUGAAUGCAAAUUGACCUUUAACUAGCUGACCUUAGCUAUAUUAAAUUUUUCAAGUGUCAAGAACACACACACACACACAAAAGAAAAAAAAAAGAAAAGAAAAGUUGUUGAAAGAAAAAUGCAAGUCUGAUAUAAAGACAAUAACAAUGAGCUUCAAAAUGAGUUUCAAAUUGUGCUCUAGGUAUGGAGAGAGAGAAAAAGGUUAUGCAAAAAAUAUAUUCGAGUUAUCUCAGUUUAAUAGGUCCUAGUAGUGCUGGAUUUUCUUUACAUUAUUUAAGAAAAAUAUUCAUUUAUCUAAUGAAUUCAUUUUACAUUUCCCUUCUCACAAAAUUAAGGUUUUGAGUUUUGCUCACAAAGUACUGGUGGCAAAAUACACUCAUUGAUCUAUUAUAACUUGCACUCUAUAUUAUUGUAGAGAUGUGUGGGAUGAUCUCAUUGUUCAUCGUCCAUACUUGUAUGCAUGAUGAGUUUCUUGUUCUUGUGAUGCUCACUUGAUAAGCUGCUAUUAGUACAUAUUAUAAUAGUGCAAUAUUUUGUUCUAUUUUAUUUUUUUUCAAAAAAAUGAGGAACCUUGGUUGUUCCUUUGAUUAUUUGUGACAAAAAGGGGAGAGUAGUGGUAUGAUAGCUAAAUUUUUUUACUUAGUGAGUUUUACAUUCUAUUCUUGCCUACUUUUACUAUAUGAUGAUUUGUUGAAUUCAUACUUGUAGAUUACUCUUGCAUUUCACAUGUCAUUAUUUGAGUUGUUGUGUUUCAGGAAACAUGUAUGACAAAGAAAUUGAGAUGGAAUGGUGGUUUGGAGUUGUUUAGUUAGUCAAUUUAAACUUGGUAGGAUUCAAAAUCGAUUUUGUCACAGAAUGUCAAAUGGGGAGCUUUUUAGGUCUAAAGUCUUAGCAAGUUUCGUGUCCAAAUAUCAUUAAAUCGAGUUGUAAUUGACUUGCUAAUGCCACAGAAUAUCAACGCAUGAUUGGGAAAGCUUGAUUGUAG